Molecule: ribosomal RNA, 487 nt
Filed under: uncultured bacterium
Lineage: Bacteria
Description: bacterial SSU rRNA
Rfam family: Bacterial small subunit ribosomal RNA
Source: RNAcentral
GAUUAUGGCUCAGGACGAACGCUGGCGGCGUGCCUAACACAUGCAAGUCGAACGGAGUAAGAAUUCGGUUUUACUUAGUGGCGAACGGGUGAGUAACGCGUGAACAACCUGCCUUUCUGAGGGGGAUAACACCUGGAAACAAGUGCUAAUACCGCAUAAGACCACAGAGCCGCAUGGCCCAGGGGUCAAAGGAGUGAUCCGCAGGAAGAGGGAUUCGCGUCCCAUUAGCUAGUUGGCGGGGCAACGGCCCACCAAGGCGACGAUGGGUAGCCGAGCUGAGAGGCUGAUCGGCCACACUGGAACUGAGACACGGUCCAGACUCCUACGGGAGGCAGCAGUGGGGAAUAUUGGGCAAUGGGCGCAAGCCUGACCCAGCAACGCCGCGUGAGGGAAGAAGGUCUUCGGAUUGUAAACCUCUGUCCUAUGUGACGAAGGAAGUGACGGUAGCAUAGGAGGAAGCCCCGGCUAACUACGUGCCAGCCGCCGC